Molecule: transfer RNA, 70 nt
Filed under: Thalassoma lunare
Lineage: Eukaryota; Metazoa; Chordata; Actinopteri; Labriformes; Labridae
Also listed under: 1 other name
Description: tRNA-Glu
Rfam family: tRNA
About the family: Transfer RNA (tRNA) molecules are approximately 80 nucleotides in length. Their secondary structure includes four short double-helical elements and three loops (D, anti-codon, and T loops). Further hydrogen bonds mediate the characteristic L-shaped molecular structure. tRNAs have two regions of fundamental functional importance: the anti-codon, which is responsible for specific mRNA codon recognition, and the 3' end, to which the tRNAs corresponding amino acid is attached (by aminoacyl-tRNA synthetases). tRNAs cope with the degeneracy of the genetic code in two manners: having more than one tRNA (with a specific anti-codon) for a particular amino acid; and 'wobble' base-pairing, i.e. permitting non-standard base-pairing at the 3rd anti-codon position.
Source: RNAcentral
GUUCCUGUAGUUAAGUAAAUAACGGUGGUUUUUCAAGCCAUUAUUCUUGGUUUAAGUCCGGGCGGGAAUU